AAAUGAAAGAGUUUGAUCCUGGCUCAGAAUGAACGUUAAUGGUUAGCUUAACACAUGCAAGUUAAAGUUUAUUGUAUAAAUUAGCGCACGGGUGAGUAAUAUAUAGAAAUCAAUUUUGGAAUAUUGUUAAAUACACGUGAAGAUUAAAUCAUUCCUAUUUUUAAAGAGUCUAUAGAAGAUUAAGUUGUUGGUAAAUAAAAGCUUACCAAGCUUAUGAUCUUUAGCUGAUCUAUGCGGAUGAACAGCCACAUUGGAAAUGAGAACGAUCCAAACUUUAUUAAAAGGCAGCAGUGAGGGAUAUUGGGCAAUGAGCUACAGCUUGACCCAGCUAAACCAUAUAUGUGAACAAAGUGCUUAGCUGUAAAACAUACUAUUUAGAAAAUAAUGAUCAAUUAAAAAAGUCCUGGCAAAUUUCGUGCCAGCAGCCGCGGUAAAACGAGAAGGGCAAACGUUAUUCGAAUUGAUUGGGCGUAAAGAAUAUGUAGGUUGAAUAUCAAUUUUAUUUAAAAAUUUAAGAUUCAUUCUUAGAACUAAUUAGAAAACUGAUAUUCUAGAGUUUAAGUGAAGGUUAUAGAAUUUUAAAUGUAGCGGUAAAAUGUGUUGAUAUUUAAAGGAAUCUCAAUGGUGAAGACAAUAACUAAAAUUAAAACUGACACUGAGAUAUUAAAGUAUGGGUAGCAAAAGGGAUUAGAUACCCCUGUAGUCCAUACCCUGAACGAUGAGUGUUUAUUUUAUUAAUAAUAAAAUUUAGCUAACGCGCAAACACUCCGCCUGGGGACUAUGAUCGCAAGAUUAAAACUCAAAGGAAUUGACGGGGACCUGCACAAGCAGUGGAGCAUGUGGUUUAAAUCGACAAUACGCGCGAAAUCUUACCAAUUUUUGCAUAAUGUACAGGUGUUGCAUGGCUGUCGUCAGUCCGUGCUGUGAAGCGUUUGGUUCAUUCCAAUAAACGGACGAAACUCCCUUACAUUUUAGAAUGUAAAUUGUUGAGGAUAUCUCAAAGGAAGAUGGGAACGACGUCAAGUCUUCAUGACCCUUAUAAAUUGGGCUACUUUCAUGUGCUACAAUGAUUCUAUCAAUGAGAAGCAAUAUCGAAAGUUAGAGCAAAACUUUAAUUAAAAUCAAGUGCGGAUUAUUUUCUGAAAAUCGAAAAUAUGAAGUUGGAAUUGCUAGUAAUCGUAAAUAAGAAUGUUACGGUGAAUUAUGUUCUCAGGUCUUGUACACACCGCCCGUCACGCUAUGGAAAUUUGUUUUACUGGAAACUAAAUAAUAUUUAUUUAAAGUAAAAAAAGGACUGAAGUGAAGUCGUAACAAGGUAGCCGUAGGGGAACCUGUGGCUGGAUUAUUUAAUAA
Molecule: ribosomal RNA, 1353 nt
Filed under: Pterocladia lucida
Lineage: Eukaryota; Rhodophyta; Florideophyceae; Gelidiales; Pterocladiaceae
Description: SSU rRNA
Rfam family: Bacterial small subunit ribosomal RNA
Source: RNAcentral